RNAcentral lists this ribosomal RNA (253 nucleotides) under uncultured bacterium. RNAcentral's name for it is "partial 16S ribosomal RNA". It matches the Rfam family "Bacterial small subunit ribosomal RNA", at positions 524 to 776 of the family's 1533-position model. The record is from RNAcentral.
GACGUAGGCAGCAAGCGUUGUUCGGAAUUACUGGGCGUAAAGAGUGUGUAGGCGGUGCUCUAAGUUCGGUGUGAAAUCUCCUGGCUCAACUGGGAGGGUGCGCCGGAAACUGGGGUGCUGGAGCGCGGGAGAGGAAAGCGGAAUUCCUGGUGUAGCGGUGAAAUGCGUAGAUAUCAGGAGGAACACCAGUGGCGAAGGCGGUUGCCUGGAGCUUUGCUGACGCUGAGGCGCGAAAGCGUGGGGAGCGAUCCGG